RNAcentral lists this ribosomal RNA (229 nucleotides) under uncultured bacterium. RNAcentral describes it as "partial 16S ribosomal RNA". It matches the Rfam family "Bacterial small subunit ribosomal RNA", at positions 568 to 796 of the family's 1533-position model. The record is from RNAcentral.
UGCGUAGGCGGAUCAAUAAGUCAGUGGUGAAAUCUCUCGGCUCAACCGGGAAACUGCCAUUGAUACUGUUGAUCUUGAGUUCGGUUGAGGUAGGCGGAAUGUGUAAUGUAGCGGUGAAAUGCUUAGAUAUUACACUGAACACCAAUUGCGUAGGCAGCUUACUAGACCGACACUGACGCUGAGGCACGAAAGCGUGGGGAGCGAACAGGAUUAGAUACCCUGGUAGUCC